This is a long non-coding RNA of Numida meleagris (helmeted guineafowl), 1321 nucleotides long. RefSeq lists it as uncharacterized. The record is from RefSeq and is a predicted model, not a curated record. NCBI's taxonomy places the organism in Eukaryota, Metazoa, Chordata, Aves, Galliformes, Numididae. The transcript has 5 exons.
GGAAGUGCGGGCCGCUCCUGUGCGCGGGGAGGCGAGCAGCCUGUGCGGGAGGUGAAACGGCGCUGGCCCAGCCCAGGAGAACAAGGGUCUCAGGGCUGCCCCUUCCCGAAGUUUCUGGGCCUCCGACGGGGGAAGUAGGCGUGGUCCGCUCAGCCACGUGGCUGGGCACAGGCCGGCCAGCGCCGGGCGUUGCUCCUGAGCCGCGUGUGCCAUGGGCGCACGUGUAGAGCGCUGCGUAGGGAAGGCAGAGGAGUCUGUUUCCAAGGAAAGACGGGAGAUAUCUGACGGCUGCAGCCUUGUCGGGCUUAAAGAUUUGAGUAACUAAAGGGAUUCUGUUUUAACAAAAGACGAAGGGCGGGAUGAAGAAGAUUCCCCAUCUUGAAAACCCACGGAGAAAGGCAUGUGCUGUGGCAGACUCAAAAUGUCUCAGAGACCUGAGAAGAAAAAAAAAUGAAGGUACUUUUUCUUCUUGCGGUUACAUUUGAGGACAAGUCUUGAGUUGUGCAGCUUCCUUCAGAUGCUGAAGGUCGUGCUUGAGUUCUAGAAUUUCUAGCAAGCCUGGCUACAGGAAGGGAAAUGGUUUAGCAUUACUGCAUUUCAAGAUGCCGAAAACUUCUGUCUUACUCAUACAUGGAUCCAAGCAAGCUGCAGCCAUUGAGAGUGCAUGUAAUCUUUCCUUUCUACAAGUAAUCUCAGCUCGUGCUAUUUUCACCCCCAUGUUCUGAAGCACUUGUUUUGAUCAUGUAUUUACCAUGUGGCUAAGAAGGUUUAAAAAGAACAACACUAAACAGACUCCCCGCAAGUCUGAAAUAAUAAUGCUUUCUAAACAUCCUAGGAUCUAGAAUGUUUUUGUCUGUGGGUAUGAGAACUGUGUUUUUUUAACAGUAAACAAUGAGAUGUGGAAGCUUGCUUCCUACCUCACUCCCCUUCUUGCACUUGAAUCUUUUACGCCGCUAAAGCAGCAGCAUCUGUUCAGAUUGAGUUGUGAGUUUUUCAGUGUUUUGCCUCUUGUUACUUCUCCAACUAACAUGGAAAGUUGGGAGGAGGCGUUGAGUGUAAAAUAGCUUUGCCUUGAGUCACUUUUCUCCCGUAUUGUACUGUAGCUCAUAAACCAUAAUCGCUUGUUUGAAAACACUUGUGCAUUGUAUUAGUGACGAACAAAACUCUCUGUUCAUGGGAUGUGUGAGUCACAGGUAAAUCUGAAAUUCAUGUGUCUGCCCGGCGCUGCGAGUGGGGUGUGCGCAGUAACAACAUGGUAACAUGGUGUGUUUUGUCAAAAGUCUUUAUUUGAAUAAAGUGUCUUAGCUAGUUCUGUUCAAUA